Molecule: transfer RNA, 68 nt
Filed under: Platevindex sp. CL-2014
Lineage: Eukaryota; Metazoa; Mollusca; Gastropoda; Systellommatophora; Onchidiidae
Description: tRNA-Phe
Rfam family: tRNA
About the family: Transfer RNA (tRNA) molecules are approximately 80 nucleotides in length. Their secondary structure includes four short double-helical elements and three loops (D, anti-codon, and T loops).
Source: RNAcentral
AAACAAAUAGCUUAGUUAAAUGUAAAGCGUAGCACUGAAGAUGCUGAGAUAGGAUUUCCUUUUGUUUG